UACAGAGGGUGCUAGCGUUGUUCGGAAUCAUUGGGCGUAAAGGGCGUGUAGGCGGUUUGUUAAGUCAUGUGUGAAAUCCCUCGGCUUAACCGGGGAACUGCGUCUGAUACUGGUUGGCUUGAAUCCGGGAGAGGGAUGUGGAAUUCCAGGUGUAGCGGUGAAAUGCGUAGAUAUCUGGAGGAACACCGGUGGCGAAGGCGGCAUCCUGGACCGGUAUUGACGCUGAGGAGCGAAAGCCAGGGGAGCAAACGGG
Molecule: ribosomal RNA, 253 nt
Filed under: uncultured bacterium
Lineage: Bacteria
Description: partial 16S ribosomal RNA
Rfam family: Bacterial small subunit ribosomal RNA
Source: RNAcentral